RNAcentral lists this ribosomal RNA (1510 nucleotides) under Salmonella enterica subsp. enterica serovar Enteritidis. RNAcentral's name for it is "bacterial SSU rRNA". It matches the Rfam family "Bacterial small subunit ribosomal RNA". Lineage: Bacteria; Pseudomonadati; Pseudomonadota; Gammaproteobacteria; Enterobacterales; Enterobacteriaceae. The record is from RNAcentral.
GGCCUAACACAUGCAAGUCGAACGGUAACAGGAAGCAGCUUGCUGCUUUGCUGACGAGUGGCGGACGGGUGAGUAAUGUCUGGGAAACUGCCUGAUGGAGGGGGAUAACUACUGGAAACGGUGGCUAAUACCGCAUAACGUCGCAAGACCAAAGAGGGGGACCUUCGGGCCUCUUGCCAUCAGAUGUGCCCAGAUGGGAUUAGCUUGUUGGUGAGGUAACGGCUCACCAAGGCGACGAUCCCUAGCUGGUCUGAGAGGAUGACCAGCCACACUGGAACUGAGACACGGUCCAGACUCCUACGGGAGGCAGCAGUGGGGAAUAUUGCACAAUGGGCGCAAGCCUGAUGCAGCCAUGCCGCGUGUAUGAAGAAGGCCUUCGGGUUGUAAAGUACUUUCAGCGGGGAGGAAGGUGUUGUGGUUAAUAACCGCAGCAAUUGACGUUACCCGCAGAAGAAGCACCGGCUAACUCCGUGCCAGCAGCCGCGGUAAUACGGAGGGUGCAAGCGUUAAUCGGAAUUACUGGGCGUAAAGCGCACGCAGGCGGUCUGUCAAGUCGGAUGUGAAAUCCCCGGGCUCAACCUGGGAACUGCAUUCGAAACUGGCAGGCUUGAGUCUUGUAGAGGGGGGUAGAAUUCCAGGUGUAGCGGUGAAAUGCGUAGAGAUCUGGAGGAAUACCGGUGGCGAAGGCGGCCCCCUGGACAAAGACUGACGCUCAGGUGCGAAAGCGUGGGGAGCAAACAGGAUUAGAUACCCUGGUAGUCCACGCCGUAAACGAUGUCUACUUGGAGGUUGUGCCCUUGAGGCGUGGCUUCCGGAGCUAACGCGUUAAGUAGACCGCCUGGGGAGUACGGCCGCAAGGUUAAAACUCAAAUGAAUUGACGGGGGCCCGCACAAGCGGUGGAGCAUGUGGUUUAAUUCGAUGCAACGCGAAGAACCUUACCUGGUCUUGACAUCCACAGAAGAAUCCAGAGAUGGAUUUGUGCCUUCGGGAACUGUGAGACAGGUGCUGCAUGGCUGUCGUCAGCUCGUGUUGUGAAAUGUUGGGUUAAGUCCCGCAACGAGCGCAACCCUUAUCCUUUGUUGCCAGCGGUUAGGCCGGGAACUCAAAGGAGACUGCCAGUGAUAAACUGGAGGAAGGUGGGGAUGACGUCAAGUCAUCAUGGCCCUUACGACCAGGGCUACACACGUGCUACAAUGGCGCAUACAAAGAGAAGCGACCUCGCGAGAGCAAGCGGACCUCAUAAAGUGCGUCGUAGUCCGGAUUGGAGUCUGCAACUCGACUCCAUGAAGUCGGAAUCGCUAGUAAUCGUGGAUCAGAAUGCCACGGUGAAUACGUUCCCGGGCCUUGUACACACCGCCCGUCACACCAUGGGAGUGGGUUGCAAAAGAAGUAGGUAGCUUAACCUUCGGGAGGGCGCUUACCACUUUGUGAUUCAUGACUGGGGUGAAGUCGUAACAAGGUAACCGUAGGGGAACCUGCGGUUGGAUCACCUCCUUACCUUAAAGAAGC